RNAcentral lists this ribosomal RNA (429 nucleotides) under Chloroflexota bacterium. Its description in RNAcentral is "Chloroflexi bacterium partial 16S ribosomal RNA". It matches the Rfam family "Bacterial small subunit ribosomal RNA", at positions 355 to 776 of the family's 1533-position model. Lineage: Bacteria; Bacillati; Chloroflexota. The record is from RNAcentral.
UGGGGAAUAUUGCACAAUGGGCGCAAGCCUGAUGCAGCCAUGCCGCGUGUAUGAAGAAGGCCUUCGGGUUGUAAAGUACUUUCAGCGGGGAGGAAGGGAGUAAAGUUAAUACCUUUACUCAUUGACGUUACCCGCAGAAGAAGCACCAGCUAACUCCGUGCCAGCAGCCGCGGUAAUACGGAGGGUGCAAGCGUUAAUCGGAAUUACUGGGCGUAAAGCGCACGCAGGCGGUUUGUUAAGUCAGAUGUGAAAUCCCCGGGCUCAACCUGGGAACUGCAUCUGAUACUGGCAAGCUUGAGUCUCGUAGAGGGGGGUAGAAUUCCAGGUGUAGCGGUGAAAUGCGUAGAGAUCUGGAGGAAUACCGGUGGCGAAGGCGGCCCCCUGGACGAAGACUGACGCUCAGGUGCGAAAGCGUGGGGAGCAAACAGG